AACAUUUAAGACAAUAAUUUCUUCUGCAAUCCCCAAAUCAAACCCAUUUUGAGUGGACAAUCAUUUUCGAAUGGUGUUACUCUUGUAAACGACUUCUCCAAUUCAUUUAUUUAGAUGGGUUGUCGGAUCUAUUUGUCAACCAAACCCACCCAAACCGGUAUUUUUCCGGAUUUUGGUAGGAAACUUUGAGUGUGUUUUUGUUACGAGGGAUUUUCACUGGGUCUUGGACUCUCUCUCCGAAUUCUUGUACGUUUGAACAAACUUCAAGAAGCGUAGCAGGAAAUGGGAUUCUGGGCACUACUGGAAGGCUUUCUUCUUUUUGCAAAUGCACUAGCUAUACUAAAUGAGGACCGCUUCCUUUCUCCAAGAGGAUGGAGCUUUGAUGAAUUUUCAGGAGGAAGAAGAAAGUCACUAAAGGGGCAGCUUGUAGGCCUCAUUUAUGCAGUACAGUAUAUGAGGGUUCCCCUUAUACUUCUCAACAUCAUCACUAUUAUUGUAAAGUUGGUGACUGGGUGAUGUCCCACUGGGUAAGAAAUAGACCAGGGAUUGGCCUUGAUUUUUAUCUUGUUUGGGAGGCAUCAGAUCAACUAUGGAGUUUUUUUGUUUGUUCAUUUAGUGUAGCAGUGACAAUGUAAUUCAAAAUUUAUGUGGACGAAGUUUCCAGAGUUUAUACUUUGUUCAAGGCCUGCUGGAUUAUUCUAUACUUUGUUCAAGGCCUGAGGUCAUUUGCAGGUAACAUUUGUCAAGAUCGAAAUGUUUUCCUAUGAGAGAAUAAGAUCAAACUUCAAGAAAAUAAAAGGUACUCAUAAUCCUAAAUAUUUGCAUUAUCAUA
Molecule: RNA transcript, 832 nt
Organism: Vitis vinifera (wine grape)
Lineage: Eukaryota; Viridiplantae; Streptophyta; Magnoliopsida; Vitales; Vitaceae
Exons: 2
Source: RefSeq, a predicted model, not a curated record